AGGCAACAAGCUAGCUAGAAAAAAAAAAAUAUAAGAAAGAAACCGAGCAUUUCUGCGUGUUAUGUGUUGUUGUUGUGAUCAGAGAUCAGUGGAUCAGUGAAACGAACCAAGUGAAAGUGAACGCAGAAACCCUCAAAGAAGAGAAAACCACUCAAGUCUCAAGUGAAACCAGGGAAGAAGUCCUCAAAUCAGAAACCAUGUCGGACAUUGAGGAUGUUUUUGGUGGCUCCGCCGAGGAGGAGACCAAAACCGAUGCCCAGCCGGAUGCCGAGAGCAAGAGCAGUGUGGUUACCGAGCAGACCGAGGAAGUGAUUCCCGGGGAGACCGAGAAAAUGGUCACCGAGACCAUUGACGAGGAUGGCGACGUGGUGGAGGAGACCACCGAAGUCACCCGCAAGACGGUCAAGCGCACCAUGAAAAUUACUGAGACUUCAGCCACCACAAAGACAACCACGCUCACCACUCCGGCCAAGCUGUAUGGCAAGGACCUGAGCGAGUACGAUGAUGUGGAUGUGGAGAGUCUGCUGGCCCAGCUCUCGGCCGAGGAGAUAACCAUAUUGGCCAAAGAAGUGGAUCCCGAUGACAACUUCCUGCCGCCUGAUCAGCGCUGCAGCUAUGAGUGCACCAAGGAUGCCACCGGGCCGCUGAACCGCAAGCAGCUGAUCGAGCACAUCAACAAGCAGGCUAUCGAGACCCCCGACCAGCCAGAGUUCGAGCCCUUCGUCCAGGGCAAGGUGCGUGGCAAGAAGUGGGUGCCCCCGCCAAGGGAUGCCCGGGACAUCGAGGCCGAGGAACAGAUCGCCAUCGAUCUGGGCGAGGAGUAUGAACACGCUCUCAACGACGCCACGCAGGAGGAGAUCAUCGAUCUGGCCGCCAUUCUGGGCUUCCACUCGAUGAUGAACCAGGACCAGUACCAUGCCUCGUUGCUCAACAAGGGCCAGCCGGUGGGCAUGGGCUGGGACGGCAUCACCAAGUCUACGCAGCAGAAGCUCUUCCCCAUGGAUCCGCCAAACAGCACAGACGUCGAGGAGUCCAUUAAGCGGGUCAAGGACGAUGACUCCAAGCUGAUUGACCUCAACUUGAACAACAUUAAGAACAUCUCGGACGAGAAGCUCGAGCAACUGUUUGCCGCACUGCCUCAGAAUGAACAUCUGGAAGUCCUCUCGCUGACAAAUGUCGGCCUCACCGACAAGACAGCCCUCCUGCUGGCGGAGGCUAUCGAGAAGAGCAAAACCCUGAGAGUAUUAAACGUCGAGACCAACUUCAUCAGUCCGCCCGUGAUCGUCAGGCUGGUGCAAGCCCUGCUCAAGUGCCGAACCAUUGAGGAGUUCAGGGCCUCCAAUCAGCGAUCUGCGGUGCUGGGCAACAAGAUCGAGAUGGAGAUCACCGACCUGGUGGAGAAGAACUCGUCGCUGCUGCGCCUCGGCUUGCACCUGGAGUUCAACGACGCCCGUCACCGUGUGGCCGCUCACCUGCAGCGCAACAUCGACAGAAUAAGAAAAGAUCUUGAGUUGCGACUGCAGUUCAGAUUUUUCAAUAAUCUGCAUAGAAAGUCAACAAGAAUUCAGUAAGCAGACCAGAAGCAGAAGCAGAAAGCAAGCAAAGCAACUAAACCAUUUUUAAAGCGUUUUGUAAUCUAAACCCCAAGAACCGAAGAUAAAAAACAUAAACAUAUAACAACGAAAGAACGUGUAUAAUAUAAUACUUGUAUAAUGAAGAAGGACUAAGCAGGAGCAGAAGUUUAAGAUAAAGAUAAUCAGCCCCAGAGCUUGGAAAUAAUAUAUCUGUAUACUCUAGAGAGACUUAACUAAGCACAGCAAACUGAAACCAAAGAAACGAAGUGAAAUAUAUCAAACUAUAUACAUAUACUUUUAAAUUAUAUAACGUUAAAGCGCAGUUCGAGCAGGCCCAUCUAGAAUGGGCUCUGUUCGGAGUCGAGGCCUGUUUUAUAAUCCAGCAGAACAAACGUUUAGGCGACACGUAUAUACUUUUCUCUAAAGCUUGACACAGUACGUGUGAAACGCCUCAACCAGCGUAAAUAAAAAGACAAAAUCGAAAAAAUUAUAUAGCAGCAACCAACAACAAUUAUAAGCUACCACCACCAACCACCCAAGAACAAAAUCAAGCAGAAAGCCAUCUACUAUGUGUGUGCAUUCGUUGUCCAACUCUUGAUUACCAAAUUAACAAGCAAUCCACGCCAGAAACACCAACAGCAACCAGAACCAGAACCACCACGAAUACAACAACCGCGGCAACUAGAUCAACAAUUUCUAUCCAACCUAUUCUCCCACCAAAAAUUCAGUCCUAUUGUGAAACCCGAACCAAUCUACCAACCAAAUGUGAACUAACACCGAAGAAUGAUGUGUGACAUGAA
This 2374-nucleotide unclassified non-coding RNA is filed under the name Drosophila ananassae. Its description in RNAcentral is "GF22912". The record is from RNAcentral. Lineage: Eukaryota; Metazoa; Arthropoda; Insecta; Diptera; Drosophilidae.